GACGGUACUUGUACUGAUUGAGAUUUUAACACGAAGUGAGUGGCGAACGGGUGAGUAACACGUGGGUAACCUGCCCAGAAGUAGGGGAUAACACCUGGAAACAGAUGCUAAUACCGUAUAACAGAGAAAACCGCAUGGUUUUCUUUUAAAAGAUGGCUCUGCUAUCACUUCUGGAUGGACCCGCGGCGUAUUAGCUAGUUGGUGAGGUAAAGGCUCACCAAGGCAGUGAUACGUAGCCGACCUGAGAGGGUAAUCGGCCACAUUGGGACUGAGACACGGCCCAGACUCCUACGGGAGGCAGCAGUAGGGAAUCUUCCACAAUGGACGCAAGUCUGAUGGAGCAACGCCGCGUGAGUGAAGAAGGGUUUCGGCUCGUAAAGCUCUGUUGUUAAAGAAGAACGUGGGUAAGAGUAACUGUUUACCCAGUGACGGUAUUUAACCAGAAAGCCACGGCUAACUACGUGCCAGCAGCCGCGGUAAUACGUAGGUGGCAAGCGUUAUCCGGAUUUAUUGGGCGUAAAGCGAGCGCAGGCGGUCUUUUAAGUCUAAUGUGAAAGCCUUCGGCUCAACCGAAGAAGUGCAUUGGAAACUGGGAGACUUGAGUGCAGAAGAGGACAGUGGAACUCCAUGUGUAGCGGUGAAAUGCGUAGAUAUAUGGAAGAACACCAGUGGCGAAGGCGGCUGUCUGGUCUGCAACUGACGCUGAGGCUCGAAAGCAUGGGUAGCGAACAGGAUUAGAUACCCUGGUAGUCCAUGCCGUAAACGAUGAUUACUAAGUGUUGGAGGGUUUCCGCCCUUCAGUGCUGCAGCUAACGCAUUAAGUAAUCCGCCUGGGGAGUACGACCGCAAGGUUGAAACUCAAAAGAAUUGACGGGGGCCCGCACAAGCGGUGGAGCAUGUGGUUUAAUUCGAAGCUACGCGAAGAACCUUACCAGGUCUUGACAUCUUCUGACAGUCUAAGAGAUUAGAGGUUCCCUUCGGGGACAGAAUGACAGGUGGUGCAUGGUUGUCGUCAGCUCGUGUCGUGAGAUGUUGGGUUAAGUCCCGCAACGAGCGCAACCCUUAUUACUAGUUGCCAGCAUUAAGUUGGGCACUCUAGUGAA
RNAcentral lists this ribosomal RNA (1103 nucleotides) under Pediococcus pentosaceus. RNAcentral's name for it is "bacterial SSU rRNA". It matches the Rfam family "Bacterial small subunit ribosomal RNA", at positions 65 to 1147 of the family's 1533-position model. The record is from RNAcentral. Lineage: Bacteria; Bacillati; Bacillota; Bacilli; Lactobacillales; Lactobacillaceae.